RNAcentral lists this unclassified non-coding RNA (446 nucleotides) under Pectinophora gossypiella (pink bollworm). RNAcentral's name for it is "uncharacterized LOC126368914". The record is from RNAcentral. Lineage: Eukaryota; Metazoa; Arthropoda; Insecta; Lepidoptera; Gelechiidae.
UCUCCAUCUGUAAGUUUAAGAAACAUAAAUGAACUACUGAUUGGUGAUACAACUACCACCUACUUGGUGACACAUCACCCUGCAGAAUGUAAGCUUAUCUCUCUUAAUGACUCUGGCUGAACACCAGCGUAUGUGAUCUUAUUAGUUACUCUUAGGUAUUACUUUAUGUCAGUUAAUUGCCCUCUUAUACAUGACCCUUUCAAUGGUGUGCUUAUCAGCACUUAGUUAGCCGAGUAAGACUUAUUCAUUAGUGUGCAUGCCAGCACUUGGGUGGCCAAGAAAGCCUCUUAUAACAGUGUGCACGCCAGCACUUACAUGGCCAAGAAAGCCUCUCAUAACAGUGUGCACGCCAGCACUUACAUGGCCAAGAAAGCCUCUCAUAACAGUGUGCACGCCAGCACUUACGUGGCCAAGAAAGCCUCUUAUAACAGUGUGCACGCCAGCAC